Long non-coding RNA from Leptopilina boulardi, 580 nucleotides. RefSeq lists it as uncharacterized. The transcript is spliced from 2 exons. The record is from RefSeq and is a predicted model, not a curated record. Lineage: Eukaryota; Metazoa; Arthropoda; Insecta; Hymenoptera; Figitidae.
UUGACCUCCUCAAUUAUGAUAUCUCCUGAAUGUCAUAGGAAUAUUCCCGCCUGAUAUCACCGUGGCAUUCAAGUAUUAUUCUGUGCUACUUGGGAAUAUUAAGGGGGGAACACCAGUUGUAACUUUCGAAAUAUCGAUUUUUUUUUUGGUGCAUUUUCUUAAAGUAUACAUAUUUAGAAAUGUGUCUGUAAAUUUCAAAGUUGAUCCGGUGAAAAAUAAAUGAGAUAUACAGAACACUGCAGCGGCGCGUCCCGUGGCUUCAUACAAGGUGGCCAGCCAUACCUGACCCUAACGACAGAUGGCCUUUUCCUAUGAUUUAGAAACGGCAACCACUGCGGAAGAGUUAUUAUAUGGUCCAGGAAUCGAUGACUCUUUGUAACUUAGAAACAAAAUUUCUUCUGAACAAAAAAAAACGAAGUAUACUUGCAGAAUGCUGGUCACCGCAAUUCGCCUUUUUUCUUAAGACGCCACUUCAAUGGCUCAUAUCUCCAAAAGUUUUUGUUAAAAAAAUUUUUUUUUUCUUUUAAAUUACAGCUUUUUACAUGUACUUUUAACUAAUAAAUAGUAUUCUUUAAAAAGA